RNAcentral lists this long non-coding RNA (2278 nucleotides) under Equus caballus (horse). Its description in RNAcentral is "lncRNA (ENSECAG00000058102.1)". The record is from RNAcentral. Lineage: Eukaryota; Metazoa; Chordata; Mammalia; Perissodactyla; Equidae.
CCAGGGAGAAGGAAGGCCAGGAGAGCGCAGGGCAGAGAGCCAGAGGAAGAUGCUGCCACAGAAGUGCAGAGUGCUCGGCAUCGCCAAGGGGCCCAGGAGGUCACGGAUAUAGCAGGGGCUGCCGUCAUAGCAGCACAUCGUGUCUGCCCUGGGCCAGGCACUCUUUGGCGGGUGUUAUGUUUAUGACCUCAACUAUUCCUCCUAACACAUGGAGGUAGGAACCUGCCAUCAUCUGCGUGUUAGAGACGAAGCAAGGGACAUGGAGAGUGGCGCAAAGAACUCUCACCAGGUCACCAACAAGUGACAGAGCCCGGACCCAACUCCGGUUGGGCUGGCUCUGAAGUCUGUGCUCUGAAACAGUGUGCUAAGACUGCGACUGAAAAUUUUCCCCAGAACAGCGACAAGAGAGUCAUGGUGGGCCUUAUGGGGAGCAGCUCCCACAGAGAGGAAGGGGCAGGGACGGUCACAGUGGACGCAAGGGAGAGACUUGGAACCUUGGCUCUGAUGGGAGGAAGGAGCCACAGCUGAGAAUGAGAGUGAGAUGGUGGAGAGAACAGAGAUUUGGAACAACUGCUGUGGAGAAGGGCACAGAGAGCUGCCUGGAGGCACAAGCAGGGGUGUGGGGAGUGCCGAGAGGCCAGCUGGAUCCGAGACCGCUGCACGUGGCCUGUGUUUGGUGUCCCCAGCUGGGUACAAAUGCCACUAUCCAGUGUGGAAGCAAAGACCAGCUUGAAGCCCACAAGCCCCUAUGAGCAGGAAGUAAGGUUCUUGGCCCCAAAACCUUCCUGCCCUGAGGUGGCUGCUAACCCCCAGGGGGCUUACUCCGUCUAAAGGCUUGUUCUGGUCAUGCUCACCUCAGUGCCAGCAGCCUGCAGGGAACAUCUCUCUUUUGCCAUUAAAUAUUUAUUUUCCUCUGGUAACAGUCCCCAGAUUUGACUUUGAGGAGACUAGCCUCCCUUAUUCUCAACUAUGUGAUAUGGGUGGGAUUGACCUCACUCCUAGCUCCAGGUCGAGUCCUGAUUAGCUUGAGCUAAAAAAAAAAAUUCCCAUCUCCUGGCAAUAGUAGGAAAAUAUUCCACUUUUUCAGAACCAAGGAGGCAAGAGAGCUGUUUGCCAGUGUUCCUGGGAAAGGGGAACUCCUUCCUUCCCCUGCGUGUGCUGUCAGAAGAGACCAUUUCUCUUCCCCUGGAUGAUAUGGUGUCAAGAUGUAUGUCUGGAACUGCUGCAGCCAUUUUGACAUCAUGAGGUAUCUUAGGUCAUGCUAGGGUAGGGACUCCUGAGAUCUGGUGAUGAGCCUGUCCCCAUGAAAAGCAUAUUGGAAGGGCUGGGAAAAUCUGAGUCCUUGGAGAAACUGGCCACGCUCCUGGAUCAUGCCUCUCUUGAAGCCAGACUACUGAGGGGUUUUUAUGAGGUUUGAAGCAUAUGAAACUGUUGAUACCUUGACGAGUGUUGACCUACAAGAAUGGCAGUUUCUUUCAAUUCAACCUGAAAGUUGAAAUUCAUAAAUCAUCCUGAUUGUCUAAGUCAGUGAUAGGCGAGUUUUUCAUCAUUUGCAGCUCAAAGACUCAUAGCUAACAUGAGCUGGAACUAGCACCACGCCCCAGGAAGGAGACACUCACCAGGGAAUCGGAGCUGACUGCUCCAGAACCCGUCUCUGGGGGCUGCUGCCGCCACUGGCUUCUCCUGCUGCUGAAACCUGAGAAAUACAAGAGGUACAACAGUUGGCUGUCGUGGCGACUGCCACCAGCUCCUAUGGCGAUGCCCAAGGGGGACAGAGAUGUGGGUGAGCUUGGAUUAAUUGACAUCUGGUUUCCAUCAGCCCCAGCCAGAUAAGAGGCAGUUGCUUAUAUGGGGGAGGAGAAAUAAGUCAGAGUGAGAGUAGGUCGUAAGGCAGAGUUUGCAUGUGUGCUCUUCCCACAUAAAGCAUGUCCAUGUCCUUGUUUCUCCUGACCGAGCCUCGUCUUCCCGGCGGAGCCAGAAGGAACUCCUGGGUGGCGGGAGGGCCAUGCCUGGAGCAGGGCUGUGUGCCCCUUCACCUCCCCUGUGGGAGAGGAGCCAGUCUCAGGGAGGGACAACACUUGCUUCACAAGCCAAGAAGGCAAAACUUUGUUUUUUCUCAGUCCAACAAAGGUCAGCAUGGGCCUCUAGCACUUCUUGCUUUCCCAACCAGCAAAGAACAUUUGACACAACGAUGUGAUGAAAUGUUGCUGACAAUCUGUCAGAGCUGGAACCUUCCAAGCCAAGGGCCCUUUCAUAGUUUUUCUCUCAAGGCAGGGAG